CGGAUGUACCCAAGGGGAUCAAGGCAGUGGAUUUGU
This 36-nucleotide transfer RNA is filed under the name Psidium araucanum. Its description in RNAcentral is "partial tRNA-His". The record is from RNAcentral. Lineage: Eukaryota; Viridiplantae; Streptophyta; Magnoliopsida; Myrtales; Myrtaceae.